UGCAGAAAGUCAGCUAGAAGAUGGAGAUAUCAUUUGCUUUCAGAAAGCACUCCGUUUUCCAGAUGUGCCUUCAUAUUUAAGACAUAAGCGCAAUCGCAGGAUCGCCACGUUUGAGAAGCCAGUAAACAUUCAUAAUCAGGAAACCAAUUCCAAUGAGUUGUCAUCCUCCGUGGGAUGAAUUUGGAAGCAAACAAGUGAAAAUGCAUCAGCAUUUACAGGAUUUUAUU
Molecule: long non-coding RNA, 227 nt
Organism: Neltuma alba
Lineage: Eukaryota; Viridiplantae; Streptophyta; Magnoliopsida; Fabales; Fabaceae
Exons: 3
Source: RefSeq, a predicted model, not a curated record